AACGAACGCUGGCGGCAGGCUUAACACAUGCAAGUCGAACGCCCCGCAAGGGGAGUGGCAGACGGGUGAGUAACGCGUGGGAAUCUACCCAUCCCUACGGAAUAACGCAUGGAAACGUGUGCUAAUACCGUAUGCGCCCUACGGGGGAAAGAUUUAUCGGGGAUGGAUGAGCCCGCGUUGGAUUAGCUAGUUGGUGGGGUAAAGGCCUACCAAGGCGACGAUCCAUAGCUGGUCUGAGAGGAUGAUCAGCCACAUUGGGACUGAGACACGGCCCAAACUCCUACGGGAGGCAGCAGUGGGGAAUAUUGGACAAUGGGCGCAAGCCUGAUCCAGCCAUGCCGCGUGAGUGAUGAAGGCCUUAGGGUUGUAAAGCUCUUUCACCGGAGAAGAUAAUGACGGUAUCCGGAGAAGAAGCCCCGGCUAACUUCGUG
Molecule: ribosomal RNA, 431 nt
Filed under: uncultured bacterium
Lineage: Bacteria
Description: partial 16S ribosomal RNA
Rfam family: Bacterial small subunit ribosomal RNA
Source: RNAcentral